UCGUUCGAUUACAAAUUUCAUAAAAAAAUUGCUACCUUAAAAUACAAGAGUCUAAUCUUAACAUAACAUUCCGUGAAGCGUUGUGAAGCUUAUAGAAUACCCAAGACAGAACGGCAAAAGGCUAGCAAAAAUUCUAGAAAGUGUCGUGUUCAUAAAAAUCCUAAAUAAUGGUUCGAGGAAUCGGCGCUUGUGUGCAGGACUAAAAACGAAGCAGAAUUGUAUGUUGAAUCUCAUGGUUGAAUAAAUUUAUCCUCAUUCUCCGAUCGUGCUGAGAAUCGCAUCGUCGCUCUGACAUCCGUCAUAAAGAUCAGUUAAACGCUUUUUUUGUAAAAAAAAUAGAUCAAGGCGUUACUGCUUAUAAACGUUUUGUGUUAUAAACAGUAACUAUUGCGUUCAAACAUUAAACUGAGUAACUAAGUUAAGUGUUACUUGGUACUUCUAACCGUGUUAUACUGUCAUACCAAAUGUAAUGAUGACUUUCAUAUUACGCUUUGUAACUUACUCCUUCCCAUCCAACGCGAAUUUUUUAAUCGUUUUGCCAAACAUGGCAUUAGAAGAAUAAUCUUUAAAAUAACUAUAACAUAUCCAAUAAGAACGUCAAAGCAGUGGGAUAAAAAGGGUACCGUACGUUCCAUCUACGAAAACCUUUGUAAACAUGAGUUGUGAAAUAAAGUAGAGAUAAUAUCAAAGAAAA
Molecule: long non-coding RNA, 694 nt
Organism: Xenia sp. Carnegie-2017
Lineage: Eukaryota; Metazoa; Cnidaria; Anthozoa; Malacalcyonacea; Xeniidae
Exons: 2
Source: RefSeq, a predicted model, not a curated record